Molecule: ribosomal RNA, 253 nt
Filed under: uncultured bacterium
Lineage: Bacteria
Description: partial 16S ribosomal RNA
Rfam family: Bacterial small subunit ribosomal RNA
Source: RNAcentral
UACGGGGGGGGCAAGCGUUGUUCGGAAUUACUGGGCGUAAAGGGCUCGUAGGCGGCCAACUAAGUCAGACGUGAAAUCCCCAGGCUCAACCUGGGAACUGCGUCUGAUACUGGAUGGCUUGAAUUCGGGAGAGGGAUGCAGAAUUCCAGGUGUAGCGGUGAAAUGCGUAGAUAUCUGGAGGAAUACCGGUGGCGAAGGCGGCAUCCUGGACCGACAUUGACGCUGAGGCACGAAGGCCAGGGGAGCAAACGGG